RNAcentral lists this ribosomal RNA (687 nucleotides) under Triticum aestivum (bread wheat). Its description in RNAcentral is "partial small subunit ribosomal RNA". The record is from RNAcentral. Lineage: Eukaryota; Viridiplantae; Streptophyta; Magnoliopsida; Poales; Poaceae.
AUGGCGCCCACCGCCUCCUUCUUCUUCGGCGCCGCCCCGGAGGACACGCCGGCGGCUGACGUCUCGGCCCAUGCCGUCGUGCCGGACCUCUCCGACGCGGUAGCGCGGGCGCGGUUACGCCGGCAGGAAGCGUCCGGGCAGGGGAGGCAGCAGGCGGCCUCCCGCGUCGGCGGCGGCGGCGGCGGCCCGCCGCCGAGGAAGACCCCGCAGCGCGGCCUCGGCGUGGCGGAGCUCGAGCGCCUGCGCUGCGGCGGCGUCGACCCGCUGCAGGACCUCAGCGCCGCGGCCGCGGCUGCCAUCCUGGAGGCUGCCGCCGCCAACCUGCAGGCGCAGGGCAACCCCGUCGUCCUGCAGCACCACCACGACUACCUGCCCGCCUUCGACGCCGCCACCGGCUCGCACUACUACUCGCCGCUCCUGGUCCAGCCGCCGCCCGCCCCUCCGGCGCCGCAGCCGCAGCCGCCGGCUCCCGUCCGCUUCGUCCAGGGCGUGGCGCCCGAGCAGCAGUACUUCAUGGAGCGCUGGGCCGCAUGGGGGGCUUCGUCCCGGCGGGCAAUGGCCAGCAGCCGCAGCUCCAGGUGCCGGCGCCAGAGUGCCCUUCAAGCCAAAGCACCAUCUGGCGUCCGGCGUGCUCCUCCGCCUCCUGCCUCCACGCGGGCCAACGCUGCGACCUCUGCUCCAAGAUGA